Molecule: long non-coding RNA, 269 nt
Filed under: Helianthus annuus (common sunflower)
Lineage: Eukaryota; Viridiplantae; Streptophyta; Magnoliopsida; Asterales; Asteraceae
Description: hypothetical non coding rna
Source: RNAcentral
UCUCCCCCAUCAUAUUGUUCGAGUUCCCUCACAACUCACACAAUGUUUUUAAUAGAAUGGUGUUGUAAGAGAAGCUAAUGUUGACAAACAAAAUGACAAAGGAGGUAGCCAAGUCCCUCUAAAUUUACAUGAAAAGUUAGUCCGAAAGGAAGCUUCCCAGAACAGACAAUAAUUGACAGCAAAUUCACAGAAAACUGAGAGCAAAUUCUAGGAAAAGGGUGAAAAUAGAAAACUCAAAUAUAUGUUAUGCUUAGAAUCGUAAUUUGGAU